ACGGAAGGCAGCAGUGGGGAAUAUUGCGCAAUGGGGGCAACCCUGACGCAGCAACGCCGCGUGAAGGAAGAAGGUCUUCGGAUUGUAAACUUUUGUCUUUGGUGAAGAUAAUGACGGUAGCCAAGGAGGAAGCCACGGCUAACUACGUGCCAGCAGCCGCGGUAAUACGUAGGUGGCAAGCGUUGUCCGGAUUUACUGGGUGUAAAGGGCGUGUAGACGGGUUGGUAAGUCAGAUGUGAAAUACCGCAGCUUAACUGCGGGGCUGCAUUUGAUACUGCCGAUCUUGAGUGCGGGAGAGGAAAGCGGAAUUCCUGGUGUAGCGGUGAAAUGCGUAGAUAUCAGGAGGAACAUCGGUGGCGAAGGCGGCUUUCUGGACCGUAACUGACGUUGAGGCGCGAAAGCGUGGGUAGCAAACAGGAUUAGAUACCCUGGUA
This 434-nucleotide ribosomal RNA is filed under the name uncultured Clostridium sp. RNAcentral describes it as "partial 16S ribosomal RNA". It matches the Rfam family "Bacterial small subunit ribosomal RNA", at positions 341 to 792 of the family's 1533-position model. Lineage: Bacteria; Bacillati; Bacillota; Clostridia; Eubacteriales; Clostridiaceae. RNAcentral also lists the same sequence under 1 other name. The record is from RNAcentral.